UAGCUCAGUUGGUAGAGCGCUCCACCUGUAAUGGAAAGGUCCCGGGUUCGACACCUGG
This is a non-coding RNA of Ixodes scapularis (black-legged tick), 58 nucleotides long. NCBI's taxonomy places the organism in Eukaryota, Metazoa, Arthropoda, Arachnida, Ixodida, Ixodidae. The record is from Rfam.